RNAcentral lists this ribosomal RNA (274 nucleotides) under uncultured bacterium. RNAcentral describes it as "partial 16S ribosomal RNA". It matches the Rfam family "Bacterial small subunit ribosomal RNA", at positions 523 to 796 of the family's 1533-position model. The record is from RNAcentral.
AUACGUAGGGUGCGAGCGUUAAUCGGAAUUACUGGGCGUAAAGCGUGCGCAGGCGGUUAUGUAAGACAGAUGUGAAAUCCCCGGGCUCAACCUGGGAACUGCAUUUGUGACUGCAUGGCUAGAAUACGGUAGAGGGGGAUGGAAUUCCGCGUGUAGCAGUGAAAUGCGUAGAUAUGCGGAGGAACACCGAUGGCGAAGGCAAUCCCCUGGACCUGUACUGACGCUCAUGCACGAAAGCGUGGGGAGCAAACAGGAUUAGAUACCCUAGUAGUCC